RNAcentral lists this ribosomal RNA (1045 nucleotides) under uncultured bacterium. RNAcentral's name for it is "bacterial SSU rRNA". It matches the Rfam family "Bacterial small subunit ribosomal RNA", at positions 338 to 1398 of the family's 1533-position model. The record is from RNAcentral.
CCUACGGGGGGCAGCAGUGGGGAAUAUUGCACAAUGGACGAAAGUCUGAUGCAGCAACGCCGCGUGGAGGAUGACACAUUUCGGUGCGUAAACUCCUUUUAUAUAGGAAGAUAAUGACGGUACUAUAUGAAUAAGCACCGGCUAACUCCGUGCCAGCAGCCGCGGUAAUACGGAGGGUGCAAGCGUUACUCGGAAUUACUGGGCGUAAAGAGCGUGUAGGCGGGUCAAUAAGUUGGAAGUGAAAUCCUAUGGCUCAACCAUAGAACUGCUUCCAAAACUGUUAACCUAGAAUGUGGGAGAGGUAGAUGGAAUUUCUGGUGUAGGGGUAAAAUCCGUAGAUAUUAGAAGGAGUACCGAUUGCGAAGGCGAUCUACUGGAACACUAUUGACGCUGAGACGCGAAAGCGUGGGGAGCAAACAGGAUUAGAUACCCUGGUAGUCCACGCCCUAAACGAAGUACACUAGUUGUUGUGAGGCUAGACCUUGCAGUAAUGCAGUUAACACAUUAAGUGUACCGCCUGGGGAGUUCGGUCGCAAGAUUAAAACUCAAAGGAAUAGACGGGGACCCGCACAAGCGGUGGAGCAUGUGGUUUAAUUCGACGAUACGCGAAGAACCUUACCUGGUCUUGACAUAGUAAGAAAUCUUUAGAGAUAGAGAUGUGUCUGCUUGCAGAAACUUAUAUACAGGUGCUGCACGGCUGUCGUCAGCUCGUGUCGUGAGAUGUUGGGUUAAGUCCCGCAACGAGCGCAACCCUCGUCGUUAGUUGCUAACAGUUCGGCUGAGAACUCUAACGAGACUGCCUACGCAAGUAGGAGGAAGGUGAGGACGACGUCAAGUCAUCAUGGCCCUUACGACCAGGGCUACACACGUGCUACAAUGGGGCAUACAAAGAGCAGCAAUACAGUGAUGUGGAGCGAAUCUCAAAAAUGCCUCCCAGUUCGGAUAGUAGUCUGCAACUCGACUACUUGAAGUUGGAAUCGCUAGUAAUCGUAGAUCAGCUAUGCUACGGUGAAUACGUUCCCGGGUCUUGUACACACCGCCCGUC